This 272-nucleotide ribosomal RNA is filed under the name Clostridioides difficile. RNAcentral's name for it is "partial 23S ribosomal RNA". It matches the Rfam family "Bacterial large subunit ribosomal RNA", at positions 1565 to 1849 of the family's 2925-position model. The record is from RNAcentral. Lineage: Bacteria; Bacillati; Bacillota; Clostridia; Peptostreptococcales; Peptostreptococcaceae.
GAUGGGGAGCGAAAUUUAGUAGCGAAGUAGCUGAUUUCACACUGUCAAGAAAAGUCUCUAUCGAGGUUAAAGGUACCCGUACCGCAAACCGACACAGGUGGGGGAGGAGAGUAUCCUAAGGCCAGCGAGAGAACUGUUGUUAAGGAACUCGGCAAAAUGACCCCGUAACUUAGGGAUAAGGGGUGCCACCAUCAGGUGGCCGCAGAGAAUAGGCCCAAGCGACUGUUUACCAAAAACAUAGGUUUCUGCUAAGUCGCAAGACGAUGUAUAGG